This 309-nucleotide unclassified non-coding RNA is filed under the name plant metagenome. RNAcentral describes it as "partial contains 5.8S ribosomal RNA, internal transcribed spacer 2, and large subunit ribosomal RNA". The stretch from base 1 to 105 matches the Rfam family "5.8S ribosomal RNA", at positions 50 to 154 of the family's 154-position model. The record is from RNAcentral.
GAAAUGCGAUAAGUAGUGUGAAUUGCAGAAUUCAGUGAAUCAUCGAAUCUUUGAACGCACAUUGCGCCCCUUGGUAUUCCUUGGGGCAUGCCUGUUCGAGCGUCAUUUGUACCCUCAAGCUCUGCUUGGUGUUGGGUGUUUGUCCCGUCUCCGCGCGUGGACUCGCCCCAAAGUGAUUGGCAGCCGGCGUACUGGUCCCGGAGCGCAGCACAUGUCGCGCAAACGAGUGCCUUGGUACGGCGGCGUCCAUAAGCCCCUCUCUCACGCUCUUGACCUCGGAUCAGGUAGGGAUACCCGCUGAACUUAAGC